This 127-nucleotide small RNA is filed under the name Marmota monax (woodchuck). Lineage: Eukaryota; Metazoa; Chordata; Mammalia; Rodentia; Sciuridae. The record is from RNAcentral.
GCCGGGCAUGGUGGUGCUCACCUGUAAUCCCAGCAGCUUGGGAGGCUGAGGCAGGAGAAUCACAAGUUCAAAGCCAACCUCAGAAUCUUAGCAAGGCCUUAAGCAACUUAGUGAGAUCCCAUCUCAA